Molecule: long non-coding RNA, 205 nt
Filed under: Gallus gallus (chicken)
Lineage: Eukaryota; Metazoa; Chordata; Aves; Galliformes; Phasianidae
Source: RNAcentral
CAAAAAGAGAGGCUGAGAGGCUGAGGAAAGACUGAAAGAGAGCUCUUAGUCCAGCUGGAGUCAAUGAAGAGAGAGAGUCAUUGCCAGAGAGUGAUAAAGGGUGCAGCCACCUUCACCCACAGCUAACUCAAACUGUGUUGAAAUGGGGAUUGAUGCCGUGAUGGAAACAAUCAAGUGGAGCGGCUCACACUGCAGCCGAUUUCAA